This 27542-nucleotide long non-coding RNA is filed under the name Oryza sativa (Asian cultivated rice). RNAcentral's name for it is "long non-coding RNA (OSAT_LNC000219)". The stretch from base 11229 to 11501 matches the Rfam family "MIR821 microRNA precursor family". The record is from RNAcentral. Lineage: Eukaryota; Viridiplantae; Streptophyta; Magnoliopsida; Poales; Poaceae.
AUAUUCUAGUGCUAAAAUAUUUAUCAGCAAGUACUAGUAGCAAGGAACCGUAGCAACUUGGUAGCAACGGGAGAACCGAGCGUGCUCGGUUGGCUAGCAUCGCUGGUGAGCGAGCAGCCCGCGCGGGUUCGAUCCCUGGGAUCGUCACCCGCGCGUCUCACCGGGAUUUAUUCCCAAAUAAAUUUCCAGCUCUCCCGUGCCAGCGCCACAAUAGUAGAGUGACGUCCUCGUCACGCACAAGGUCCUUAGGUGGCUUUGUGUAUCUCAUUAGCACGUGUGUGUAUAGUUGAUAGGUGGAGUGUGUGUGCGUGGUGGAGUGCGUUUGCACGUAUGUUCAGAUACUACAGCUUGUACUCAAAGUGGAGAGCUCUCAAAAAAAAAAAAACUUGGUAGCAACGGGUGUCGCCGGCUGGCCAGACUCUCUUGCCAUGGCUUCCCAACAUCUCAUCCUCCUCCUCGCGAUCUUCGUCUCGCUCUGCGUAGCGGCGAUCGGUCAGGGCAACAAAAUCGUUCCGUUUAACCCAUCCUGCUCAACCACCGGAAACUACUCCGGCGACAGCCAGUACAAGAAGAACCUCGACCAGCUCCUCUCCACACUUGCCACGGCCGCCACCGACGAUGGCUGGUUCAACACCAGCUCGGUCGGAACGGGUGGCGACGACCAGGUGUUCGGCCUCAUCAUGUGCUACGCCGACCGCAAUCCGACGCAAUGCAAGGAAUGCCUCGCCGGCGCACCCGCGGGGAUCACGCAGGUGUGCCCGGGAAGUCGGACGGUGAACGCCAACUACGACGCCUGCCUCCUCCGCUACUCCGACGUCUCCUUCUUCUCCGUCGCCGACAAGACCGUUGCCUUCAACGUGUACGCCAAAUCCUACGUCGAGAACAUGGCCGCCAUGAACGAGACGCGGUGGCAGCUGAUGAGCCAGCUCGCGGAGACGGCCGGCCAAACCAAGCUCAGGCUGGACACCGGAAGUACGCGGCUCGGAUCAACAUCGAUGAUGUACGGUCUGGCUCAGUGCACGAGGGACCUGGCGGUGAGCGAGUGCAGCACCUGUCUGUCUGACUACAUUGUGCAACUCAGCAAAAUCUUCCCCAACAACAGCUGGGCCGCCAUUAAGGGGUACAGCUGCUACCUCAGGUACGACCUCUCGCCGUUUGGCAUCACUCUUCCGCCAUCGUCUCCGGUGCCUCCUCCGUCGUCCACAAGGUCAACAGGAUUCGUCGCCGGCCUGUCUGUCGCCGGCGCCGUCUCUUUCAUGGUCAUUCUUGGCGUCUCGAUCUGGCUCCUCUUGCGCCGCCGCCGGAAGCACGCCCGGCUGAUGAGGGAGCAUCAGGAGAUGGAAGAUGACUUCGAAAAGGGGACCAGACCAAAGCGAUUCCGCUACGACGAGCUCUCCGUCGCCACAGACUUCUUCUCCGACGACUGCAAGCUCGGGGAAGGCGGGUUCGGGUCAGUGUACAAAGGAUUCUUGAAGGAUCUGAAUCUUGAAGUAGCCAUUAAAAAAGUGUCCUAGAGCUCGAAGCAGGGGAGGAAGGAGUACGAGUCAGAGGUGCGUAUCAUUAGUCGCCUCCGCCACCGCAAUCUGGUGCAGCUCAUCGGCUGGUGCCACGACGGAAGCGAGCUCCUCCUCGUCUACGAGCUCAUGCCCAACGCCAGCCUCGACACCCACCUCUACAACGCCAACGCCAACGUGCUCCCGUGGCCACUCAGGUACAACCAUCUCCAAAAGAUUCUAAUUUUGUCCGUGGCAUGUGACGGCAAUAUUAGUUAGUCAGGCACAUUUAAGUGAGCUCCUACAUUAACCAAAAAUAUCUAGUUAUUGAUUAGAUAGUUUGUAUUGUCGUGUAACAGCAAAUAUCUAUCUAUCUAUCUAUCUAUCUAUCUAUCUUCUAUCUAUCUAUCUAUUAUUAUAUACUAAAAGUCCAUUAAACUUCCUAUAAACGCUCUCAAGCCGCCACGUAGCGCUCUACAAACGCUCCUAAGUCGCCACGUGGCGCUCUAAUAAAUUAGAAAAAAAUCCUAGAAAAAAGAAAAACAUCUCACCAUUGAUUUUCACUUAAAUCAGUGGACCCAUUAUUUUUAACCAUUAGACCGAUUUAAAGGAAUAGAUACUCAAACCAACCUAUGGGCCUAUUAGAUCCCUCUAGAUCUAUCUCGCAGAAUUUGUAACCUUCCCUUCCCCUGCAGUACUUGCCACCGUACGUAAGUACGUACAUAUGUGCAACGUAUUCCACAUGCCCUCCCCUUUUCUCCUAUUUUCUAAAAACUCAUUAUAAAAUAGUUUUAAUUUUAAAUAGCUAAAUAAUCAUGAUUCUCAAUUUAUAUAAAGCAUUAAAUUCAUUUGUGCUAUUUUUAUUUGUAAUUAAAUAAAUACAUCAAGAUCGGUAUUGCAUAUAUUUUGCCAGGUGAAGAAAAAACUGAAAUACCUAUAAACGCUCCCGUAUCGCCACGUGGCAUUCCUACAAAUACUCAUAAAUUGAUACAUGACAUUUCAAUAAAUUAGUAAAAAUAAAAAACAUGCUCCCUUGAUUUUAAGUAAAUUAGUGGGUCUAAUAUCCUGAACCAUCAGAUCUAUCUGUAAAUUAAAAACGAAUCCCAAUUUCCAAUCGUUUGUUCUGCGUGUACGUGUACGGAUCUACACCCAACCUCCCUUUCCUUUUCUCUCUCUCUCUCUCUCUCUGUGUGUUUUUUUUUCAUUUCUAACGAACUCUCACUUUUUAUGUAUGGUAAUUAAAAUGAUAUAUAAUCCCAACUUAUUUUCAACUCGGUUAGACUAAGCUCAGCUCAUUGUGCACUUCAAGGGCUGCAUGACCUUUAUGGGUUUUACAAAAAAAAUAGACAAUCUUUCAACAAUUGUAGCUUUUAAAUUAUAAAUUCAAUUCAUAUGUAUGUUAGAACCAUAGUUUCAAUAUACUUAUCUAUAAUAUACUUAAAAAUUCACUAAAAUUCCUAGAAACGCUAUUAAACCGUCAUGUGAGAUUUCUAAAAAUGCUCCUAUACCGCUAUAUGGAGGCAAAAUUUAGCCGUCGAUUUUUAAUUAAAUAGGUGGUUCCAUUAUUUUAGACCAUUAGUUAGAAUAAAAAAGAAGCUAUUCCUCCCUCUCAUCUCACCCGCGUGUACGUACGCCUCCCUCAUCCCAUUCGUACGCAUGUAACGUAUAUGUGCCCCACUUUUUUUUACUCUCCAUUUAACCUUUUCUUUAUUUAGUUUUAUAUUGAAUACCCUACAAUAUAUUGGUCUCACCUAUGAUUUUUUAUGCUAUUGAUAUUUGAGCAUAUAUUUAAUCAUUCACUUUAGUAUAAAAAAUAUGUAAUUAUAAUAGGAGAUCCUAAAUAUUCUGAGAAAAAUAUAAAACAUCCGACCCUUGAUUUUCACUUAAAUCGAUAGACCAGUUAUUUUAUACCAUUAGAUGAGAUCUAUUAGGAAAAUAACACUUAACAAACUGGGAAAAAAAAUAUCCCGCGUACGUAUAAUACAUAGUAUUGUUCACUGGGCAAAAAAGCCAAAAAAAAAAUCUUGUGUAAGUGUGUACUCCUACUAUUCGCCGAAUAAAAAUAGUUUUACUAUGUGAAAUGCGCUUAAGAAAAAACCGCAUGGAUUUUAAAGAAGAUGAAUGGAUUAGAUUAGAAGUCACCUAACAUCCUAACACGACUAUAGAAGAUGCCAUAUGUGCCGAUUUGUAUCGUAGGAUGAAAAUCCGGCACCAAUUUAUCGGUAUUAAUACCAGCAACCGACACCUAUGAGGAAAAUAGAACAAACACCUUUAGCUUUGCACGAGAAAAAAAAAAAGAAAGCUGGCUCGAAUCGAGCCGAACUUGCCAACCACACCACCACUGCCAUCAUCCUCCUGGAUCCACCAUUGUCGUCCUCGAGCCCAUUUCCCUGCCGCCAACAUCUCCCGCAUUUGACGGUGAAAAUGAAGAGGCUGAGUGGGAGAGGGAGAUGGGUUGUUGCCAUGCUGUCAUCGUUGUCCUAACGCUGUACCCCCGCCGUCGCUGCACCGCCUCGACGAAACAGCUUCGGCCGUGCCCACGCCGUCGUUGCGCCAUAUCGCCGUUGUCGUUGCGCCGUGCCAAGGAAACGUCUUUCAUGCUAUACCCUCACCGUCGUCACUCCGUACCACGAAAUGUACAGCUGUCACGCCAUGCUAGCGAGACAGGAAGGGGAGGGGGGAGAGGGAUGUCACCGCCGAUGGGGAGGGGAGGGAGAAAGCGGAGGGGCGGAGGGGAUUAUGAUUCUUACCAGCGAGAUAUGUUAAGGUAAAUUGUUGGACAAUGGAAUUGAAUAAAUUGUCACCUUUUUCUUAUAAAAACCUCAAGUAAAUGUUUUGAUUAAAAAGAGGUGUGUGGGACUAUGUUCUGGCGCUUAAUUUACAAGUUACCCAAACAUAACAUUCAGGACAAUGAUAAUAAAUAAUCGUGACUGGCCGGUGUAGAUGUAAUCGGGACAAAGUGAUUUUAGUUUAAUAUGAGUGAAAUUCAGUAUAUCAAAGACUACAAACUAUUCCACAGUAUAGAAUAUUCUUUUUCAAAUUUCUUAAUUAUAAUGUAGUUUAUCGUACAUAUAACGAAUACGAUGAGGUAGGAUUUCUUUAAGCAUUCUCCCGCUUCCUUCCUAGUUAUUAAGAAUUUGUGUUAGAUAAAACAUGCAGCAAUAUAUAGGUGGCAUAUGCUUCCCAAUCAACGUGUACAUGUAGAGUGCACAAUUGUAGAUAUGUCAGGAACAAAUUAUUUGAUAAUAGAAUUCAACCGUAUCCUAUAUUUUUUAAACUCUAACUUAUUGGUAGUUGUUUACACCCAAAUUUUGUACCUAGGGAUAAAAUAGGAAAAAUUGCCAAAGUUUGGAAGUCUGCCGGUUUUCUCUAAUUGGGCCAGUCUGACUGCCAUCUGUUGGCCGGUCAGACCGGCGGUGUGUGGCCGGUCUGACCGGCAGAGUCCGAGUCCGGGUCUGUUUCGCAGGGUCUCGAAGUUUCCUUGCUCGGGAAGGCAUGUUUCGGGUUUCCUUUGGAUUCUAUCCCGAGUUGUACGUGGAGGAGGGCCUAUAGAGGGCAAGACCAACCCCUAUAUAAGGGACAUGGCCGGUUCAAUUGUAACUAACCAAUCUACAAUCAUUCAAUCGAAUUGUUUUUCAUAUUGCUUUUAGUUUUCUCUUAGUUUGUCCAUUUUUGUCUAUUUGCGCUGUAAAUCGUCCGCCGCAGCUGCGAGAGUGCAACACCUCUUCGUAGGUUUGUCUUGAAAACCUUUCGUUUUGCCUACGAGACGGGUAGUUAUCUAGAAAUCGGCUCUGCUAGCCGCUUUAGUUAUCAAAACCCAUCUUGGUCUAGUUUUUGCUAGAUUGAGGUGGUUGGCGACUCUAGAAUCACCGCAAGGCGUUAGGUGCUGCGAUCGUAGUUAUCAACUUGUCACAAAAAGUUGCUAACAGUAGUGAUCGAACAUUCCUUCCCAAUCAUCAUAGCACACUAACCGAUUUAAAGGCGUAUUAUUUUUUAGAGUACCCUUGGAUGAAUAUGAGCCAUCCAUUCAUCUAGAUCAAUGGAUCAUAUUCAUUUAUACUAUACCCUGUAGUAUGGACGGUAGAAUUCGUGUAGGGAUAUAUUUGGAAGAAGAUGCAUAUGGCAGGUAAAUAAUUUUGCAAAUUUCAUUGACCGUCCCGAUUGAAUUUUGGCAACCAUCUCUUAUUUUUUUGGUUCCCUUUGAGCAACAACAACAGUCUACCUUAUCUGAUUCCCAAAACUGAUUUUGAGGAAUUUUAGUAAAAAAAUAGCUCCAACAAAUCCCCUACUCUCCUACCCGAGUUUUGGAGUUCCCUUCUCCUGAUUCCUUGCUCCGUUUAUAUGUGGACGCGUCGCUCCCAAUCUCACACUCCCGCCUCUCUCCUCCGGCUCCCGCGCAUGGGAGAUAGCGAUCUUUCUGUGAAAGAAAAAAAAAACGGAACAUUUCUGUUGGUAGUUUAACAGAAGGGCCCAUUUUUAAGUUUUGGGGAUUGAAUUUAGGAUAUCUGUUGGAGGGAGGAGUUUUUUCACUACCUAUUUUCAGUUUAGAAACCUAAAAACAUUUUUUUGGGGAAGAUUAUAGGUAAUCUAUUGGUAAUGCUCUUGAAAGAUUGUUUCUUCCGUGUAGUUUACUUGCCUACUUUUUAGGAGAGGAAUUAGGAUCAACCGAGUUCUUCGUGCAUGCAUAUAUGAUUGACUAUAUCCAUGAAAUAGUUUCAGCUUUCUUGCUUCUACAUAUAUAUGUCCACAGGAUUUGCAUGCACCUAUAUGUAUGAUCUGAAUUCUGAAUCAAUGGAUCAACACUAUUAGUUCUUCACUAUCCAGGUUUCGUGUAUGUUCGUCCUAAGCAAUGCAGGCUGCAAGAAUGAUAGCAAGCGGUGUUUAGCUGGUGGCACUAGCCGUGAGAGAGAUUGAAUUUGACGGCGAGAACAGCGAGAAUUAGUUCGGUUAAAAUAGCUCCAAUUAAUACUUUAAUCUAAUGUCUAAAAUAGCCUUAAGAAUCAAUGGUCAGAUCUAAACAAACUACACUACUACCUCUAGCAGCAGAAGGUGCUGUAAAAACAUUUAGAUAGCCCAACACGCGCGGACUCAAUCUCACACUACAAUUAUAGCUUUAAUUGUCUAACUAUAUUAUAAUCUAUCAAACAUAUAUUUGACAUUCUAAUUAACAAGCGGUGCUCCAUUAAUUUGUAGGUACGAGAUCGUGCUUGGGACCGGAUCUGCGCUUCUGUACUUACAUGAGGAGUGGGAGCAGUGUGUGGUGCACCGUGAUAUCAAGCCGAGCAACAUUAUGCUCGACACCGCCUUCAAUGCCAAGCUCGGUGACUUCGGGCUAGCUAGGCUUGUCGACCACGACCGGGGCUCCCACACGAACGGUGCUAGCUGGCACGAUGGGGUACAUGGAUCCAGAGUGCAUGAUCACUGGCAGGGCGAAUGCCGAGUCAGAUGUAUACAGCUUCGGUGUCGUCCUCCUCGAGAUCGCUUGUGGUCGGUGACCGAUAAUGGCGCCGCAACGGCAAGCUGAUGAAGAAGAGGACAUGAUCCACAUUGCUCAAUGGGUCUGGGAUUUGUACGGCAAUGGGAGGAUUAUUGACGCCGCCGACCACCGGCUGGGCGGCGAGUUCAACGGCGAGGAGAUGGAGGCUGUCAUGGUUGUCGGGCUCUGGUGCGCGCACCCUGACCGAAGCCUGAGGCCAACGAUUAGGCAGGCUGUCAGUGUGCUGCGAGGCGAGGUGCCGCCGCCGAGCCUCCCGACGAGGAUGCCGGUGGCAACGUUCCUGUCCCCAGUAGAUGCUUUCAACUACACAUCUUCAUAUGUGACAGGGAACACCAACACCAGCACCAGCACAAACACAACUCAGUCAUCCAGGACGACUGGGACAGUUGCUUGAUAAGUUCGAUAAUCCGUAUAUCAUGCGUGGAGAUGUAUGUGUAGUUACUUUUUAUCUUUCAUGUUUUCUAGUUUGGUCUGUUGACCGUGGUAUGCUUAGUGGAGGUUGAUGGCAUCGUGCCUAGCUACCCUUGUUCUUGUUACUUCUAUAUAUUGCAAUCGAAGAGAAAACGAAAAGCUGCCGCUUCAUCGCAGCACCAAACAUCUCGCGCCCACGCUGUUCAUCACACUACUAUACACUACAGGAAUUCUGGGCUUCUAUGACGAUUACAUUACGACGAUAACAGCUUAUUUCCUGUCACUGUCUGCCUGCAGUGACGAAAUGGCUGUCAUCACAGAAGGUGGGUCACUAAUCAGCUUCUGUGACCACCAGAGGACAUCGUCAUUGAUACAGUGACGAUAAUUCUCCUGUCAUUGAUGAAUGACGAGACAAAUUCGUCAUAACAAAUUGAACCGAAUAGCGCCACGUAUAUGAUGACAUGUGAUGUUGCAAAUGACAAGGGCAGGCGAUGUGGCAAAUGACGUGGCAAUUCACAUUCGGGCCAUAUAGCAUGGGCUUUUUUAUUUUCAAUUACAAUCAGCCCAAUUGGCCCAAAUAUUUUUUUUUUUGACCCAGCUACAAAUUUGCUUUUACGUUUUUUUCAUUAUAGCCCAAUAGUACAAUUCUAGCCUAUAUUAUGGGCCAGCCCAAUUAAAAAGCAAUCAUAGAAUAUAAACCACAACCAUUUCUAUAAUUAUAUUACAAUCACAUUCUAGCUAUAAUUAAUUUUCCAGCCCCAUACAAAAGCAAGUUCCAGAAUACAGUUUCCAUACAAAAGCACAAAACAUGAAUACAAAAUGAUUCAUCCACCAUCCAACUACACAAGUCCCAGCCGACUACAAAGUUCCUACAGGUAGUGCCAAGUUCCUGCACCAAAAAAUUCCACCUAGCAGCCACUACUAAGUUUCGGCGUAUAUCUUGCCAGCAGCCAGCAAAAAAAAUUCCACCAAGCAGCAAUGCAACCUUUAGUUUUGCUGCAAUGCAACUCCUUAAAGAGAUCAAUUGCAGUGGGCUCACUGUCUUUGUAUUUUUCUUGCUUCUGCAAUGUUGAGAGAAACAUGAUGGCAUGAGUAAUGGUUAUGUUAAAGUACACAGAUAACACAAAAACAUGUCCUCCAGAACAAGCAUUCUGGUUGACAUUGAUUCUUUUUGUUAAACAUUGACAGUGGUUGCCAUGUAUAAACUUAAUUGAUGUCACCCCAAAUAAGCAUAAGCAUGACAAGAGCAAUCAAACCAAACUGAUAGAAAUUUAUGGAUAAAACAUGAGCAUAUUUUUACAUGGUCAAAGUGUGAGAUAACCUGCUAUUCUCCCUCCAUGUUUUGCUGUAGCAGGGGUUAGAGCUUUGCCACCUCUUGUUGUCCUUGUUUUGCACUGUAGAGGUAUGCCACUACAGAAUGGCAUAUUGCUAUACCUAUACAAUGCAAAACAAGGGCAGCAAAAGCUGAAUAGAGGGCCAACCCACGCUGCUGCAGAAAAACAUGUAGGGAGGGCUGCAGAUAAUCUCACAUGAAGAGGGAGCCUACUAAAGCUUUAAAUCAUAUAGCAUUAUGUAGAGCCACUAUCAAUAUGAAGAUAUAUAUCUCCACUGGAUCUAAACACCUCCAUCAGGAAACACAAAAACUACAUCCAACUAGAUGACAUCAUCAUUUUUUCCUUACCACGACAUAGGCAUGUGCAAUGUAAGACCGAGAUCCGGUACGCUGCUGAAACUGAACUUUUUCACGGUUCAGUUGGUUUUUGGCACAUUUGUCCUGCAUAUGACAGAAUUAUAACCAGGAGAAAUACUUACUAUGGCAAGUAAUCGAGCUGAAAGUCACCGUAGAGCUCCAGUCUUCCCGUCUCUAGUGCUCCUUGAUUCCUUACUCUGCAUACAUCACAGUGUGCAAGUCUUCAGUUCAGAAGAGUCUACAAUGCAUAUUCAAUCCUACACACAUGAUCCUAUGUAUCCUUAAUUUAACAAACAUUGAUAUCGAGUCUUAAUGCUCCCGAAGAUAUGCAUCAGUUUACUAUCCUCACCUCAACGAGCACAUCAAGAUGAGCCUCUGGUACCAACCUCGGUUGCAUAUCCUGCAAGCAACCAAAAAAAAAUUAUCAUUAGAAAGUAGAAACACCUCAAAUCACACUGGUGCGGAAGCUAAAUCCAACCUGGCUGGGGCUAUUGUGCUGCUCCUCGACCAAGAACGGCUCGACGAGCGACGCGGAGGUAAGCGCAACUCCCCCUGAGUGGCCGUGAGCCAAGCAGAUGCGAUCGAGAAGCGGCGGCGACUCCGCCAGUGAUCCCGGCGGCAGGAGUACGUAGCGCCGACGCGGAAAGCGUGGUUGACCCCGACCUGGAGGAGAAACCAACCAAGCACACGAUUCGUCAAUCCGAUUCAAAUUCUCGCAAGCAAAGCCAAGGAAUUCGGAGGAGGGGAGGGCAGGCGGCGACGCACUGGUGGAGAUGGAAGGCGUGCCGCCGUAUCUUGAUGGCCUUGGGGUCCUGGAGGAAGAGCAAAGAGCAGAGUGGCGUUUAGUGAGAGAACUCGGGGAAUAGCUUACGUGGCCCACUUUGUCAUCCUCCAUCCAGUGCUUCCCCUUGCCCUCCCCUUCCACCUCCGCGCCCUCCAUCGCCUUCCUCCUGGCGGCGGCGGCGCUGGCCUUCCAUCGCCACCUGAUCUGCUAGCCGCUCGGCUGUUGGCGCCGGCGGUGGAACAUGUAACGCACCGCCCAGCUGGCCCGCCGUAUGGAGGCCGCCGACACCGCCAUCGCGCGGUGGCUGUCCCGCCACGACCCUACCACGUGCUCGACGGCGUGCGCCGCCUCCGCGACGAGGCCGAUGCGCGCAUUGGCCGCCUCGAGCGCCGCGUCGAGGAGGUCGCCGCCGUGCAGCAGGCGUCGGCCGCCCAUCCGCUCCCCGCCAUGUCCCUCCCCUUCACGCUCCCGCCUCCGCCGCCGCCGCCGCCGCCCAAGGCCAUGGCGAUGAUGGCCAUGGACACGCCACCCAAGGCCAUGGCGAUGGGGAUCGAAGCGCGACCGAGGAGGAGGAGGACGACGGCGUGGUGGGCGGCGGCGUGAGGGUGGGGAAAGAGAAGGUGAAGGAGAUGGUGAUGAGCAGCGGCGCCCGCAGCGGCGGGUGGGAGGAGGAGGAAGGGGACGGUGGUGACGGCGGAGUGGAUGCUGGUGGCGGCGACACAGUGGAUGGAGUGGAUGGAGUUUGGGCUAGGGUUUGGAGAACAGGGUAUAUGGAUAAGAAGCACUCCUAUGCGAAUUUACCAAACUGUCCCUACUAUGUUCACAAUAGUUACGAAAUUGUAUGGAAAAAAUGGACAUUUCACCUUAAAUUUUUUUUCAUGACUGCCGAGUUUGGCGCUAAAACUUUGGUUCGCACCGAAAAUUCGGGGCGCCUCUGCAGCCCUUUCUUUGUUUUUGGCAAAAAAAAAAUACAAAUAAUAUGUUGUACUUUUUAAUUUCAAUUUAUGAUAACUUUAAAUUUAAUUUUAGGCUAUGUUUUGUGUAUCAAAUGUAAAAAUCAUAAACAACAAAAUUGUAGAGCUCAUCGAGAUCUACAACUAUUGUAUUGGUCCAUUUUACGAAUAAGUUCAUUUGAACAUUUCAAAAUUUGAAUUUUCAAAAUUUAACAACUUCGAACAAAAUUUGGGAUUAAUAAAUGAUUUCAAAUGGAAAAGUCACCAAAAUCAAAGUUGUAGAACUCAUCGAGAUGCAAAAAUUUUAUUUUGGUCAUUUCUCUAUCUGACUCUAUUUAAAUAAUUUGAAAUUUGAAAUUCAAAGUUUGAGAACUUCAAAUAGAAUUUUUUAUUAGUGAACGACUUCAACUGAAAAAGUCAUCAACAAGAAAGUUGUACAAUUCAUCUAGAUCUACAAUUUUCAUUUUGGUCAUUUGUUCAUUCGACAAAGUGAUUUUAACAUUGUUCAUAAAUUUUACAUAUCUCCAUAUGGUUUAUAAACUAUAAGAGAGAUAUGUAAAUUUUGUGAACAAUGUUACUAUCACUUUGUCAGAUGAAUAAACGACCAAAAUAAAAGUUAUAGAUAUUGAUGAGUUAUACAACUUUGUUUUUGUUGAUUUUUUCAGUUCAAAUCAUUUAGUAUUUGAAAAUGUUGUUUGAAGUUGUCAUAAUUUGAAAUUCAAAUUCAAAUUAUUGAAACAAAGUCAUAUAGAAAAAUGACCAAAGUAAAAAUUAUAGAUAUUGAUAAGUUAUACAACUUUGUUGUUGAUGACUUUUUCAUUUCAAAUCAUUUAGUAUUUGAAAAUAUUGUUUGAAGUUGUCAUAAUUUAAAAUUCAAAUUCAAAUUAUUGAAACAAAGUCAUAUUGAAAAAUGACCAAAAUAAAAGUUGUAGAUCUUGUUAAGAUAUACAACUUUGUUGUUAACAAUUGUUUUAUUUGAAAUUAUUUACUACCCGGAAAGUUAUUUGAUUUGAGAGGAGGGAGGUAAAUGGACUUGUCAGCGAGGGAUGAGUAAAAGGGUGGGCCGGCGGCCCGAAGAGAGAGGAGGAGGGAGAGAGAGGCCGCGGGCUGAGGGAGGGAGAGAGUAAUACUUGGGCCGAAAAAGGCCCAAGGACAGAGAGAGGAAUUUUAAUUUAUUUUUCAUUUAUUUUAAUAGGUUAAAUGAAUUUUGUGGUAUUAAAAUUAGUUAUUGAGCUCCGAAAAUUCACGGAAAAUUUCAAAGAAUAAUUUAGACCAACUUAUAGCCAUUUUAGUUUGUUUUUUUAAGUUUUUUCAUUCAAUCAUAAAAUAAAACGCCACAAUUUUGAUUUUUUUAUUCAUAAAAUGAGACUAGAGAUGACUUCAAUCCUAAAAUCCUAAAAUCCUAAAAUGAGAGACUAUAAUUGAUGUAGACAACAAGAGUCCACCUAGGACAAAUGAUUUAUGGUCUAGUGGCAAUGUAGUAUAACAAGAUUUUUUUUGUUUUUUUUAAAAAAUAUAAUAGUUAUGUGUUUUAUGACGAUCCAUUAUUGUCAUCGUGCUAUCGUCACAGAGCCCAUGCAGAGUAUACUAUGACGAUGGUUAUGACAGAUACACGGUUUGGUCAUAAACAGUUGUCAUCCUCUGAACAGUCGUCAUAAACAGCCUCUAUUUAUGACAGAUAUGUGUUCUGUCAUCAGGUAAUCGUCAUAGAAGUCCAGAUUUGUUGCAGUGAUAGAAAUAGCCACAAGUACCGGUUGGCGGUUGUCGGAUUUUGUGCCGGCACAAAAUUAGUGGCAUUGAUGAAGGGAUUCAAGCCGGUUGCUUAAUUUUGAGCUCCCCCCAAUGAGAUAGUCAAGAACAUCCAUAGCUUAAUUAGCACAUUAGAAUCAACGUCCAUACAGUGUAUGGCCUUCGAGCUCCGGCUGCGUGCAGCCUCUUGGCGUCGUCGGCCUCAUAUUCACGCGCCGUGUCGCGCCCUCAUCCUCAGCAUCGAGCAGCAAGCCAGCAACUCAGCAGGAGAGAUGAGUGAGCUGUCCAAUGUCCAAGGCCACCAUAGAUAGGGAUGAGAAAGUGGAAAGAAGACAAGGACAAGAUAGUCAUUUACCUCCCGAUUUGAUGGGUUGACAGUUAAAAGUGGUAAAAUAGAAAUAUUCCAAUGGACCCGUGUAGCAAAUAAUCAAAGUCUUCGAUGAAGAUGGCAUUUGGAAUUAUUAACAGUGAAAUUUGGUAAGCCCCUAAGAGAAUUAUCACAUCGCCUAUAGUAGGAUUUCUGCUAUAUUUGGUUAAAAAAAUUAAUCUAUUAAAUGAAACUUAUCCAGAAGUGACCGAGUUCAAGGAGAAUGCGGCAUGGCAAGUUAUCUAUUAAUUAGGACGGUGGGGCUUGGCACUUGACUCGGGGCUGCAUUGGUUUUCGAUCUCCGAUGAAUGGGUAAGUCCAAUGUUUCACCGGCUCAGGCAAUUGUAUCGUCCACGCCGGCGCUAUUCAAGGCUAUAUCAGUACAUUCGACCUCUUGGAUUGCUCUAGUUUGGUUGAUAUAUUUGCCUGGCUAUUUAUCAUAUGUUUAGUUAAUCUAGUCUUAGUAUCUCAAUUUAGCUCUAUCGGUUGUCUCUCGCUUUAGGGUUUCUACCGGUAUCGGCUAAAUUGUUUUACUAAGAUUAGAUUAGCUAAGGCAUCUACCACCCUAAAAAUCAGUCAACAGCUUGAUUGUCUAGAUAUUGUGUUUCUUUUCAUACUUAGUGCUGCAUUAGUUAAGUUUGAUUUACUAAGCCGUGUUUAGAACCAUAAUCCCUAGCUUGCUUUUUGACUGCCAAUAAGGGUUUCAUCGGGGUUUCAGGUGAUGAGAUAUCUCGACGUUGCAUCGGCUUACAAGGAUUGCAUGUAAGUUGGAUUUAGUCGAUGAUAACAAAGAUUUCACCAUUUAAUCUAAUUUGUGGAUUUUAUGACAUCGGAUCUCCAGCCGAUGUAUGCUUUAACAUUCGGACACUUGUUCUAUCAUAUCAUUGUUAGCCGAUUGGUUUCUAAUGGAUUAUAUUGUUGCUUUCCUACAUUAUCAUCAGCCGAUUGCCUUUAUAUUGUUAUUUACAUCAAGCGUCAGAAUCUACAUCGGAAUUAUAGCCGAUAGCUCAAAACCCUAUCGGUAUCGGCUGGUAUUGACAUCGGCUAGAAUUAAUCUAUCGGCUUAUCAGCCGAUCGGCUCAUUGAUAUGCUAUUUGUAUACCUUGUCAGUUGCAGAGUCAAACUGACUGGCACGCCUGCAUCUCAUCAACUUUUGGUCCUGCACUUGAGCUAAGCAGAUCUCCCAGGCCAGUAUGUGUUUUUCGCGUCAAUAGGAAUAGACCACGGGAGAAGAUUGCAAAUAGUCCAACAAAGAAGAAUAAGUAUAUGUUAAAAAAUAGGGGCAAUAUUUGGGUGGUUCUCUAUGUAAAAAAAAAAUAGGGCCGAUAUUUGGGUGCUUCUGCUUCUCUGGAUAACAUUGGUACCAAGCAGGUUAAAACCGUCUUCUAAUGUGUGUGGUGGUAAAGUUAUCUAUUUUGAUUAUAUGAAUGGUGUUUCCUGGAAUAGACACAUUUUUUUAGAUAAACAUAUAACAAAUUUGGUAUGCAUUACCAGUUCCGGGCACGUCUGUGCAUUGAGGGCAUUCCAACGCAUGCGCGCACUGAGGUCACUGCAGUCAAGCUGAUUGGGCCCAGGUGCGCCAUCAACUUCAUCGAAGAGUACUCACGUCGCCACAACUAUAACCGCACCUUCGACCUUCGGAUCUAGACAAACGACCCCGGCGCCAUCCCCAAAAUGGCAUGGCUGGGGUUGGCAAAUCCGGAUGAUGAGCUGGUCCCUGUCGACAUCCCCAUGCCCGACAUCGACCCCAUGCACAACCCCCCACCGUCGGGGCCCAAGGAUGGAUGUUUGUCCCCGGUGAUUAUUCACCUGGACACCUUGGAGGACCUCCAGCCUCAUCCAAUGUUGUACAAGCAAUACGAGUGGUCCUACGGGGUCUAUGAUGAUUGUAUCUCGUUCCCGUUCGGGCUCUCGGCCUAUUCCGUGCAGGCUAGAGCCGAGUGCGGUGCGGGGACCAAAUGAAGACCCAGAUGGGGAUGGUGGUCGGCCUCAUCCGCGCUACCAGAGCCGCUCCAGGUCACUGUGGGGCCGCAUCACGGGGAGAUCCCACAGCAGUGAGCGUGGGGGAGAUGGUCAAGGAUUCUACAAUGAAGACACGAGGGGAUGCCAGCGCAACAGAGACACAUACAUCACCAUAAACCACAUCCGCCGUUCUAGGGACGACACUGAGGUUAGGGCCCCAAUUUCACUUUCAGCCGCGCAGAAGCAAAAGCCCAAGAGGGGGGGGGGAUCCCUCGCUAUUGAUCUGUCUUCUUCUCCAGCUGAGUUGUUUUCCUUCCAUCACGGGGACCAGGGAAACCAGGAACAGCAAGAGGACCCCAUAAGGGCACUCACAGUGCGUCGUCGCAAAAUGCCGUUCCUGAGGUACCAGCUAGGCAAGGAACACAGAAGACACUUGAUUCACAGUGCAUGUGGCUUAUUUUAUUUUCGCAAGCACAUGAUAGUGGGUCCCACCCGUCCUCUCUCUCUUCCCUUUUCAUCUCUCUUCUCUCUCCAUUCUCCCCAUCCGUAUCGCCCAUCUCCCCCAUCCGGCGCCCCUCUCACCAAAAGCGAGCGGCGAGCGGCGUCCGGCCUCCGCGCCGUGGCCCGAGCAGCGACGGCGUUGGGCGGGUGCGCGGCGGCGGGCGACAGCGUCGGGCAGCUGCGCGGUGGCGGGCGUCGAUGACUGCGGCAGCGGCGGGCGGACGACUUGGCCCGAGCGGCAAGCAGCGUCCGGCUUCCACCUUCCUCCUUCGGCCUCCGCGCCUCCCCCUUCCUCUUCUGGCCUCCGCGGCGAUGGCGUCGGGCGGCUGCGCCGCGGCGGCGUCGAUGGGCGGCGGCGGCCAUGGGUGGGAGGAGAGAGAGAGAUGGCGACGCGAGCGGCGGCCAGAAGGGGAGGCCACCGAAGCCGGGCGGAGCAGCGGGGAAGGCGCCGAGCGGAGCGGCAGCGGGGCGGCCAGAUCCAGCUUGGGCUCACCGGAUCUGGCGUGGACGGCGACGGCGUGCUCGUCGGCUGCGCACGGCGAUGGCGGGCUCAUCGGCUUCUCCCCUCCGUCCCCCCCUUCUCUUCGUCCGUAUCCAUGGUUGUUGCGUCGCCGGCGCAGCCAACUAUCCGACGAGCUCGCUGUGAUGUCUUCCCUUGUUCUCUCUCCGUUUCUUGAUGACGCGGGAAUCGAUGUUGUGGGCCAGACCUGCAAUUGUGAGAAAGAACUCGGAGCUUACUUUGGCUCCCCGUUCCUGGUGAGGGAGUGAAAAGUGCCUAGGUGGAGAGGAAUCUCCGAGCUGGCAUGUGGAGGCUGAACGCUACGUCUUUGCAUUGUAAAUGGCCUAAGGGUUGAAGCGGCUAUCAGCUUCUCGCCAGAGGGCGAACAUGGCGUGCAGGGCUCCCCUGUGUAUGUCCCUCUGUCAGGAGGGACUGUUGUAACGCAGGCCGAAGACGUUAACAACAACAGUGCUGCUGACCUGAUUGCUUCCCUCACAACUCCGGUGAGACCACCCCUCAUGUCGCCCCCAAUUCGCAUUCGUACUAAAAAAACCAAAAGUUGUGCUUAGCGCUACUCAACGACACAGUGAGAGACUAUAAAAGAAAAGAAGGAAUGGUUGCAAAAUUGAGCUUAUAGCACAAGAGAUUAUUUCCAAAAAAAUUGGUAUUAUGAGUGAAGGUGAUUCUUUUGAUGAGAAUGUCAAAAAAAAACUCACUCCACGCUCCCUCAAGAUGAUCGCUGAUUUGGUGGAGAAAGGCGGCUGCAAGAAGCUGAAGCUCAAAGCUGCCAAAGCAAAGGCAGCUGUGACCCCGGCUUAAAGGACAUCAAGUUGGAGUCCUGGAGGGCGCCUACAUAAAUAAAAUGGGUGCCGGUUCCCUGCAGAAGUUAUCGAGAUGCUAAGCUAAAGCGGGCUGGAUGCCUUGCUGUAUUGUCUGUGAACUCUGUGGCUUUAGACCUCCACCAAACUAGGCACAACUCACUGAAGAACUCUCAGGAGGUUAUGUUUAUGAAUGAUGCUCUAUCUUUUGCUGCAGCAAAACAACGGUCUAUGUGGCCUCUUCCUUUCUUUCUUGGUUCUACUUAUCUGCAGUGUUUAAACUUAGCUUUAUGUUUCAAUAACAUUGCAAGAUUGUAAGCUGGAAUGUUAGAGGUCUGAAUGCACCAGCAAAAAGGGAGGCGGUCAGAAAUCUCCUUCAACAGCAGAAUGCAACUCUGGUUUGCCUGCAAGAGACAAAGCUGCAAGAUGUAGAUAAGGCCUGCAUAAUUGAAACAAAUGGAGUAAAUUUUCAGAACAAUUUCUUUUUCCUGCCUGCAGAGGGAUCUAGGGGUGGUAUAAUCCUGGCAGCUGAUGAGAACUAUUUUACCUUGUCACAUUGUGAUCUCCGUAUGUUUUCCCUAACAGCCAAGGUGACUAUGAGAGAAACAAAUGCCUACUGGACAAUAACAGGGGCUUAUGGUCCAUAGGAAGAUGCUGCCAAACUUCUCUUCCUUCAAGAAUUACAGGAUGUGGCUCCAACAAGCCUACCUUCAUGGUUAAUCUUGGGAGAUUUUAAUCUAAUUUACAAGGCGGAGGAUAAAAAUAACAGCAGAUUAGAUAGAAGAAUGAUGCAACAGUUUAGGCGACAAUAGACAAGCUACAAUAAUUUUAUUCCAUACCUUACCCCUCUCUUAAUCAAUAAUCCACAUUGAUUCACCUUUCAAUACCUCUACGUACCUCGCAAAAACCAUAAAACUUCUCUAGUUCCUUUGUCUGGAACUUUGGAUGGUGGUGUGGGGGUUUUUGAUGGAUUGGGACAGGGAGAUUGAACUCUCUUGUUUCUGAUACCACCAUCCAAUCUCCCUGUAUAGACAAUACUUGCAUGAAUGGCUGGGGUGGCGGUGGUAUCAGAGUCACCCUCACCUUCACCCUCUAAGUGUAUACUUUAGAUUUUAAGUAAUGAUGGAUGGCUUAGGGAGUUCCUUCUCUAAGUAGCAAGUACAAACAAUUAGAUCUAAGCCAUCCAUCAUUACUUAAAAUCUGAUUCCUCCCAAAACUUCCUAUUACUCUAUUUUUUUAGCUAAACAAGGGACUAGGAUUAAAAACCAAACUCCCAUGACCAAUCCAUCACCAAAUCUCCCUCUAAACUUCCCGUCCCCUUCCAUUAAAUUGCUAAACACGCCGUUACGGAAAGAUGAGCUUACCCUACGUUCUAGCAUAUUGAACUGAGGCCUUGUUUAGUUGGGGAAAAUUUUUGGGUUUGGUUGUCACAUCGAAUAUAUGGACACACAUUUAAAAUAUUAAACGUAGUCUAAUAACAAAACAAAUUACAUAUUCCGUCAGGAAACUGUGAGACAAAUUUAUUAAGCCUAAUCAAUCCGUCAUUAGCAAAUAUUUACUGUAGCACCACAUUAUCAAAUAAUAGCGCAAUUAGUCUUAAAAGAUUCGUCUUGCAAUUUACACGUAAUCUGUGUAAUUGUUUUUUUGCUUAUAUCUAAUACUUCAUACAUAUGUCCAAACAUUCAAUGUGACAUCGUGAAAAUUUUGCUUUGGGAACUGAAGAGGGCAUGAACCAAAACCUUUUUGAAGUGAGCUUGGUUGAACACUUGAACCAAUAUCCCCCCAAGUUGUCUGGACACUGCUACACAACUAUUUUUUACAGGCGGGUGAUAAACCACUUACACAUGUAUUUAUUGAAUUGCCUAUGACUUAGGGCCUAUAGAAAUCAACGAUAUAUUACAUGUUUUGUUCACAAUCAUAUAUAUGAGUAUGCUAUUUCUUGUGAAUUUAAACUUAUCCGUUUUUAGAAUGAAAUAUUAUAUAUUGAUCUAAAAUGUUUAUAUAGUGUUCUCAAAAUUUCUAAUAAUUAUUUCAGUAAAAAACAAUAACUAUUUGCAUAACUAAGAACUCUAAGGGAGAAACACCCAUCUUGUCUUGUCGCUUGCUCUUGAGGAAAAAUAAAUAAAUAAAGCAAGCCUUUCCUACAGUCAUAACGAAGCUGACAAGAUCAAUCUGAUUAGGGUAUGGUUACGAAACUGCACCAAUAAGAUCAAUUAACAGAUUACAGCCUUAGACUUUAUUUAGGCCGUGUUUAGUUCACCCUCAACUACCCCAAACUUCCAACUUUCCAUCAUAUCACAUCACAUCCAAAACUUUCCUACACACGUAAACUUCUAACUUUUUUUUCUAAGCUUCCAACUUUUUCCGAACUUUCAACUUUUUUUCGGAACUAAACACAGCCGCUGAAAAAGUCGAUGUACGGCAGGACGUACAUUCUUCACAGAGAAUCGAUUGACACGGUCUAGACAUAAUCUCAGCACAAAUUUAAGCAACGUCAGCCAUAACAGGCCUGUUUGGUUAAUUCAUUGCCGUAUUCAACCAUAUACCAAAAAUAGUAAUGCAAAUGGAAGUAAACAUAUGUUUCGUUUGUUGCAAUUUGCAAAAGAAUUGGCAUUGCCAAAAACGUCGGCAAGAAAACCAAAGCACAUACACUUGAUUGCUUCAAAAAAAAAAUCACAUACUCUUGCCUUUUGACUAGAUUAAUUUGCCAAAAUUUUGACAGUAGCCAAAUCUCGUCUUUAACCAAAAGUUUACAUUGGUGUCGAUCCGAACAAGCUCUCGAUGUUCUGACUAAAUAGCUCUUCUUAAACAAAUGGACCUGGAUGUACGAAGGAGUAGCAUGCUGACUUUGAAGUUUGAAGUCUGAACCGGCAAAUCGCACAAAGAGAUGAUCGAUUGGCCAAGGAAAGAAGCUCCUUUUAAAGUACUUGUGUCAUUUAUAUAUGAGCCCACGAUAUGGGUCCCCAUACCAGCCCCUUAAAAUCAGAGGACAAUAAGUUGUAGAAUCUGUUUUCACUGGCCAAGACAUGAUCAUCUGCGCUAAAAAUGCGCAUCAGAAACAUUUCGGCUGCAGAAUUAUCAAAGCAAAUGCAGAGUAAGGACAAUAUAAUGAGCAUUUACCCUUCACACCCAACUUUAUGCUACUACUUAAAAAGGGAUUUGGUGCUAGCUGGCCAGGAAACCCAUAUGGGUACGUACCGGACUUUUCCCGGCCAGCAUCCCUUAAGCGGCACCAAUGAGGAGGACUGAGGUUUCAGGAAUGAAAAAAAAUCCAGCUCGUUGCAUCGGAUCGAAUCCAAGAAAAUAUUCAUCAACAUCCAUCUAACGAUAGGCACCUUUUAUAAAACCAGUACUGAUGACUCAAUUAUAACAAUCAUUUUAUAAAAAACUAGUACCGAUGACUUAGAUAUAAGUGUCGAUUUUUAAUAGGAACCGACACCUAUGUUUGGCAAGACUCAUAGGUACCGGUUCCUUUUAAACCAACACUUAUGUCAUUACAUAGGUGUCGGUUCUUGAAAAUGGUUCCCCACAGGCGCGCGCUUGAACGAAAAAAAUACUGUAGGUGUCAGUUAUUACAUUUCCGGCAUCUAUGGUACUAGUCCUUUUAUCGUUUCUCUAAUAGUGUAUUAUAAGAGAGUUGAAUGAAAGCUGUGUAAGAAAACCCAUAACAAUUUUGAACAAACAGUUGAUUUCAUUAACUGACAGUGACAGGAGCAUGUACAUCGUUUAGAUUACUUUUUACAUCAUUAUCAAAAAGAAGAUUACCUUUUACAUUGUCUAACUCAAAGUCAAUUAGUCAAUUAAUUAUAUCUAUCUUCGUAAGGCUGACAGAGAAUAGGCCAAAAAAUAACGGCAUGCAUAGUUUUUUAUUGUUCAAUCCACAAUCGGGCUGAACGCGUAGACUAAAAUUGACAGUUUUUUUUUCCAUAAAUUUUGUGCUGAUAUGAUUGGACUUUUUUUUUACCUGUAUGGAUUUGACCAAUUUAGCUACAUUUUUUAAAGCUAGAAUAUUUCUUUUAAGGGUCCAUGCCAUUGAAAAUGUGGCUAUUCAGAAAAAUGCUAUUACAAUUCGUCUAUUCGUAACCAUGUCACUCCAAUUUUACAAAAUUAAAACCAUGCCACUGCCGUCACCUUUUCCAUCCAUCCUCUUCCUUUCCGUCUUCUUCCUUCCUUCUCCAUCUUCUUCGCGGCCAUCGCAUGUCAUCGGCGUUGAUGCAGGCGUCCAGCACCUCCCAUUCCAUCCCGGGAGGCACGGGGAGCGCCACCCACGCCACGGCUGCACCUGACGACGACGACGACUCCCACGCCGCCGAGAGAGGCUCGAUGUCGACGAACUACGGGAAGCGGAGCGCACGGGGAGGUCCCUGGAGGAGGCGGAGGAGGGGGAGGUGAGGGGAGGGAAGAAGGAGGCGGUGGUCGCCAUGAAUCAUGGACUUGACAUGAGAAAAUACCAUAUGCAACAUUUGCAAACGAUAUUACUUGUCGAAACAUUCGAAUAAUACCAGGUGCAAUACUAAAGAAAUAUCCAUUACAACAAGAAAACUAAGACCUUGUUUAGUUGGGGAAGAUUUUUUGUUUUGGUCGUCAUAUCGGAUAUACGGACACACAUUUAAAGUAUUAAACGUAGUCUAAUAACAAAACAAAUUGCAGAUUCCGCCAGGAAACUGCGUGACAAUUAGCAAAUGUUUACUGUAGCACCACAUUGUCAAAUCAUGACGCAAUUAGUCUUAAAAAUUCGACUCGCAAUUUACACACAAUAUAUGUAAUUGGUUUUUUCCUAUAUUUAAUACUCCAUGUAUAUGUCCAAACAUUCGAUGUGACAUUGUUAAAUUUUUUGUUUUGAAAACUAAACAGGGCCUAAAAAUGUGCAACAAAGUUGAGUUGAAACUACUUUCCCUUUCUCACAUAUGAAACACAAUUCUUUUAAUUAUUGAAACAUAUAUUUUUUUUAACAUUGCAAUAUAAAGAAAAAAGGUUGGACUAAAGUGCAAUUAACUCUUAUUUUUGUUUGCAUUGGGCACCUGCUACAAAAUAUUCUCCUAAUUUGUUCGGGAAUUCCGUACCAAAACAGCAUACCAGCCGCAACAAUGGUCAUGGAAGAAACCGUCGUCGGUACAAAACGGAAGGGGAUGCGGUUGGGAUUUUCAAUACCGGUUUCAUCCCGUGCAUAUACAUAGUCCGUACACUCAGUUACCGAUCGAGUUGGAAUCGUGCGUGACCGGCCGAACUGCAUAUCUAACGCAUACGCACGCAAAUCGCAAUCAAAUCACAGUCACCCAUCGUCGAGCUAGCUGUGCGCUUCGCAUGAUAGACCUAUCGUCCUCGAUGGUCACGUCGCCGGCAACGGCGAGCUGGUCGGACAUGGUGUUCGACCUCCUCGCCACCGUCUUCCACACCUUCAGCGACCCCGCCGACCUCCUUCGCUGCGCCGCCGUCUGCUGCUCCUGGCACGCCGCCGCCGCCUCCGUCCGCGACCGCCACCCGCUCUUCUCCCGCCGCCCGCCGCCGCCGUGCCUAGUCUACACGGCUGCUGCCUCGGGCGACGGCGACGACAACACCCGCGCCGCCACCAUCUUUCCCCUCGCCGGCGGCGGGAGGACGUUCGAGGUCACGCUGCCGGCUGAGCCCCCCAUCCGCGACAGGUCAUGGUUGGGCAGCUCCCAUGGAUGGAUCGUCACCGCCGACGCCGACUCCGCCGAGCUCCGCCUCGUCAACCCCGUCACCGGCCAGCAGAUCGACUCGCUCCCGCCGGUCGACACCAUCGAGCACGUCAGGCACCGCAGCCAGAGCGCCGCCGCCGCCGACGACGACGACGAAGAUGACUACGACUACGAGAUCGUCCAGUACGACUGGACCAUGGAGCAGCGCGACGACCGGCCACCGACCCAGGCGAAGGCCGGUGAGCUCGCCGAGUACCUCCUCAUGCGCGCGUUCCUGUCGUCUGAUCCAUCGUCGGACAGCGGCGGCGGCGGCUGCAUCGUUGUCCUGCUCCACCGGCCAAAGUACCAGCUCUCGUUCGCGCGGGUGGGCGUCGACGAGCGCUGGGCUUGGGUCAACCUGCCCGACUCGGACUUCUACACCGACGUCGUCUACAACGACGGCGACGGCAUGUUCUACGCUGUCAGGCACCAGGCCGCCAUCCACGCCUACGACUUGUCCGGCGGGCCCUCCGCCGUGCGCCGGACGAUCGUCCUAGCCGACCAGUUGCACGGCGUCAUCGACCUCGAGACCAAGUACCUCGUCCGCGCCCCCGACGGCGGCGAGUGGCUGCAGGUGUGGAGGAUGCUGAAGCCCGUGCGCCGCGCUGCCGACACCCACGGCGACACGACGCCGACGACGGCGGUGUAUAGGAAGACGACGAUCUGGAUCAAGGUGUUCCGCGUGGACCUCGCCGCGCAGAGGCUGCAGGAGACGGCGACGCUGGGCGACGGCGGCGACAGCCACGCGCUGUUCAUCGGGUGCAACCAGCCGUUCUGGGUGCCGGCCGGCGGCGGCGACGGCGAGUGCCCGGCGGGCGGCGUGCUGCCCAACCACAUCUACUACACGGACAACGAUGAGGACUACGCGCUGCUCUACCCGGAGGCGCCCAGGGACAUCGGCGUCUACAGCGUCGCCGACGGCAGCUUCUCGCCGUUCCGGCCAUCUCUACCAUGGCUGACUUGGCCAUUGCCGAUCUGGCUUGUUCCCAAUUUCGGUUACUACUGUCAAGGUUAAGUUAGGAAGAACUAAAUUAACACAGAGCAGCUAAGUUUGAUUCAUUGAUUGGUUGUUUUUUGUUGCUUUCAUUAUUUAAAUCUACGUUUUAUUGUCUCUGAUUUUUUUUUAAUCAUCGUUCAAUCCAAAUGUCGGGCUGUGCAUAGAGUGUGACUUUUCUUUUUUCCUUCUAAAUUAAAUUUUGUGCUGAUAAGACUAGACUUCUUUUUUUCUCUACCUGUAUGGAUUUGACCAAUUUAACUAUAUUUUUUUUAAAGCUAGAAUAUUUUGUAAAUGCUCCGAACUUCUCUAGUCAUCACUAGUUCACCACCUCUUCAAGCGAAAAAAAAAAUGGAACUCGUUUCUUCAGUUAACUUCAUCUGAUCGUAUAGUAAUACAUACACAGGGAGGGGCUUUGUUUUGUGCUUUUGUAAUAUGUCUCAUUAGUUCUGAUUAUCCUCAUUUGAGGAACAUUUGUUGUUAACCUUUUUAAAUUUCUCUUUCCACUCUCAAUAUAAUCUCAAGCGCCAUCCUGCACUCGCCUCCAAAUAAAAGCUCGGGUCCUGAUGGAUACACAAAUGAGUUCUACAAAUGCUUCAUCUCUACUCUUAAGCCUGACCUGAUCGCACUGUUCAAUUCCUUCCAUGCCAAUGCAGCCGAUCUUUCAGGGGUUAACAUCUCUUACAUCACUUUAAUUCCGAAAAAAGUAACCCCUCUCAGCAUAACAGAUUUCAGGCCAAUAUCCUUGCUACACAGUCUGCCAAAGCUUAUCAGCAAAGUGCUAGCAAACCGGGUUCAAGGGGAAAUUCAUGAGUUAAUUGAUCCAAUGCAAUCUGCAUUCAUCAAAGGAAGAUCAAUCACGGAGAAUUUUAUACUAGCUUCUGACAUUGUUCAAUGUGCAAUCAAAAGGAAAAAACCAACGAUUAUUCUAAAGCUUGACUUCCAAAAAAGCUUUUGACACAGUUAACUGGGAUUGCUUAUACUUGGUCCUACACCGCAGAGGAUUCGACGACACAUGGAUCAAUUGGAUCAAACAGAUUUUGGAAACUAGACAAGCACACAUAUUGAUCAAUGGAUCAACAGGCGAGUCAUUUAAGUACAGGAGAGGGGUCCGUCAGGGUGACCCUCUCUCCCCAUAUCUCUUCAUCCUAGUCGCUGACGUCCUACAGCAAAUGAUACAGCAAGCCUUCCACUCCGAGUAGUUACUCCACCCACUGGAUUCUCACUCUCCUCCUCCCACGCUGCAAUACGCUGAUGAUACCCUACUUAUUUUAAAAGGAUCGCUUGAGCAGGCUGAAAUAAUUAACGGCAUUCUUGAGGAAUUUGCUGCAUUCUCAGGGCUACAGAUCAAUUUCAGCAAGAGUACCUUUGUACCCAUACACAUGAAUGAACCCGAGGCAAGGGCCAUCGCUGAGCUUUUGCAAUGCCCCAUCAGCCCGCUUCCUUGUAACUAUCUAGGUCUUCCACUCUCUACGUCCAAAAUCUCACACAAGUUGCUUGCACCAGUCAUUGACAAAAUAGAUCGAAGGCUAGCAGGAUGGAUCCCAGGCCUUCUCAGUUGGGGUGAAAGACUCAUCAUGAUCAACUCAGUCAUGUCGGCAAUACCAAACUAUUUCAUGUCCAGAAUCAAGUGGCCAGACAAAACCAUCGAAGCAGUUGAUCGCCUAAGGAGGGCAUUCCUUUGGAAAGGGGAUAAGAAAGUAAAAGGAGGUCAAUGUUUAGUGGCCUGGCCAACUAUCACUCUCAACAAGGAACAAGGAGGAUUGGGAAUCCGUGACUUGAGAGCUCACAACAUGGCUCUACUUAUGAAGAUAGGAGGCAAGUUGUUAUCAGACUCAUCAGAACCAUGUUUUCAAUGGUUGCGCACGCAACACAUGGCAAAUGAGAUCCCUAUUAAAGCAAAACCAACAGAAACACCGAUUUGGAAGACAGUCUGUUCCGUUAUCGAGCCAGUUAUUGCCUCCACUAAGGUAACGAUUGGGAACGGCCAGCUAGUGCAGUUUUGGCGAGACCACUGGACAGCAGUAGGACGAUUCAACCUCAUAUAUCCGACACUAGCUUCCUACGCAACAAAUAUCAACUGUACAGUCUCCUCCCAACACACUAACGGUACCUGGACAAUUGAUCUACACCCGGUUCUCUCUUCCCGGGCUCAAACCGAGUUACAGUCCCUCAUGGAUAUAUUGUUGGACCAACACAUACAACAGAAUGUCCCCGACAAAAGAACACUGCUGCUUGGUUCCACAGAUAUCACAACAUCAGCAAACUACAACUUGUUGACUUAUCAUGGCAUCCUUUGGCAGCCGGCAACACUUAUCUGGAACAAGGCUAUCCCCAACACUUGCAGGAUCUUUUUGUGGUUAGCGUUCCGAGACAGGCUCAACACCAAUGCAAACAGGGUUCUUAAAAAAUGGGAUUCCAACCCACACUGUAUGACCUGCCCAGCUAUUGAAACAUCAAAUCACAUCAUGAUAAUAUUUCAACGAAAGUAAAAGUAAGUGUAAAGCAAAAGUAGUGUGUUUUUCAUUCUUUUAUUGCAUAUAUAUUAUCAUGGUUUAUUAGAGGAUGAAUUUGGUGGCACAUGAAACUCCACUAAAUUUUAUAUAGCAUAAUAUGAUUGAUAUAGUUUGAGAGACAAUCCAUCUAUAAACAUUUCAUGUAGAGUGGGUAAGAGGUUCUACGCAACCUAACGUGAAUAUAAUUGCACAAUAAUAUUUUUGAAAUGUGAUGUACCAUGAAUAAACGAUUGUUUUUCUUAUAUAAGAUAGAUCUAACGAUUAAAAAUAAUGGUUUCACUGGUUUAAAUGGUUGUUUUAAUAUCCAACAUUAUUUUGAAUUGAACAUAGUUCAACUGGUUAGGUUCCUUGUGGUGGAAAUUUCCUACUCAUAUUCAAGUCCCGGACUUGACAAAUUCUUUCAGACGACGUAUCCAUCGACAGCGAGGCAUUCAUGGUGACUUUGUCGAUCUCAAAAUAUAUCGGCCCAAUCUCUCAGAGGUACUCAUAGGGGUAGAGUGUACGUGUGUGCGUUCGUAGGGGUAAGUGUACGUGCGUUGUGAGCGCCCACAUUUGUACUUUGUUUCUCAAGAAAAUAUCCAACAUUAUUGAUAACUUUAUUAGGGACGGGUUGACGGUGCGUAGUAUGUACAUGCCCAGGAUAUUUUUUUUGUUCUCAAUCCGGUGGAUAGUAGUACGUAUUGUACAUGUGAGAACUUUUUUAUAGUUUUUUGGGUUUUUUUGGGUGAACAGUACGUAUAUACAUUUCUCUCGUACCAAUUAGGUGGGACUGUGGCAGGGUUAAUCCUUCUUCUUACAAUGGUAAUUACGUUUUUUUCUUUUUUUUUGCCGUGAGUAGUAUAGUACGGAAGUACGCAUAUAUAUUAUUAUUUGAGAUGUAUUUUAAAUAAAUCUAAUGGUUUAAAAAUAGUGGGUCCGCCGAAUUAAAUAAAAAUCGAGGGCUGGAUGUUUUUCUUUUUUCUCAAAAUUUGUAAGGUUUUCUCUAAUUUAUUAGAAUGCCACGUGGCGGCUUGAGAGUUUUUUUUAGGAAGUUUAAUGGAUUUUUCAUAUAUAAUAGAUAGAUACACAGGACAAUACACAUGCAGCUUUUGCUUGCUUGUUCUAAAACUGAACAUAUUAUCAUGUUAUAUAGAAAUAAAAUUUAGCUUUAUCUUUACUUCCAUAUAAUUUCUAUGGCCUUAUCAAGUAGAAUUUGGUACAUAAUAGGUCAUUUCUAUCUUAAGCUCUGAAUGAUAUAUAGGUGGACAAACAGCUAGGAUAUGACUCAUUAUUUUUUAAGUAAAUCUUAUUUAGUUAUGCAUGUUUUGUGAUGCAUCAAAUUAUGGUAUAAUCUAUAUUUUGUUUUUCUCAUAAUUCAGAAUUUUUAGAACUUUUUGAAGUUCAUAAAUCUGUUUUAGUUAUGCAUGCUGGUGAAGUGAUAUAUGAUGAAAUAGUAUAUAAUGUCACUUUCUUUUAAUAAUUGUUCAUAUAUGUUUGAAUAACAUGUAAAGGUUCUCAACAAAACUUAAAUGAAUAUAAUUUUACAAUUUAAAAUAUAGUCAACAUGUGUCUUAAAUUCUAAUUGUGAUUUUAAUCAUAAAUAACACAAUGGUACAAAUAGAUAAAAAAA